This 282-nucleotide long non-coding RNA is filed under the name Nicotiana benthamiana. Its description in RNAcentral is "long non-coding RNA (NBEN_LNC041933)". The record is from RNAcentral. Lineage: Eukaryota; Viridiplantae; Streptophyta; Magnoliopsida; Solanales; Solanaceae.
CCCGUUGCUACCAUCCUUAUCUGUCCUUUCCCAUACGGCAUUCUCCCUUCCUCGUUAUUUGACCAUUCUAUCCCUUUUUUAUACUAAGUACUAUCCAAUGCUUAGAUCUUGAUGAGAUUUCUAUUCCUUUAGAUAAAAUGGCUUUGGCGUUAUUUUUUGCCAUUAAAGGAACCCUCGCCAGAUCAAGGCGGCGCGUUUUUACUACCGGUUUCCGGUGAAUGGCGGUUUCGUCAAAAAUUAGGGUUUGUUGUUGAACAAAGACAACAGAAUUUGGGGAUGAGC